RNAcentral lists this ribosomal RNA (253 nucleotides) under uncultured bacterium. Its description in RNAcentral is "partial 16S ribosomal RNA". It matches the Rfam family "Bacterial small subunit ribosomal RNA", at positions 524 to 776 of the family's 1533-position model. The record is from RNAcentral.
UACGAAGGGGGCUAGCGUUGUUCGGAAUUACUGGGCGUAAAGCGCGCGCAGGCGGUCUUCCAAGUCAGUGGUGAAAGCCUGGAGCUCAACUCCAGAACUGCCAUUGAAACUGUUGGACUUGAGUACGAGAGAGGUGAGUGGAAUUCCCAGUGUAGAGGUGAAAUUCGUAGAUAUUCGCAAGAACACCAGUGGCGAAGGCGGCUCACUGGCCCGAUACUGACGCUGAGGCACGAAAGCGUGGGGAGCAAACAGG